RNAcentral lists this long non-coding RNA (267 nucleotides) under Mytilus galloprovincialis (Mediterranean mussel). Lineage: Eukaryota; Metazoa; Mollusca; Bivalvia; Mytilida; Mytilidae. The record is from RNAcentral.
CAUGACCAAAUGGUCAAUUGACCCCCUAAGGAGUAAUUGUCCUUUAUAGUCAAUUUUCAACAAUUUUCAUAAAAUUUGUAAAUUUUUACUAACAUUUUCCACUGAAACUACUGGGCCAAGUUCAUUAUAGAUAGAGAUAAUUGUAAGCAGCAAGAAUGUUCAGUAAAGUAAGAUGUACAAACACAUCACCAUCACCAAAAUACAAUUUUGUCAUGAAUCCAUCUGCUUCCUUUGUUUAAUAUUCACAUAGACCAAGGUGAGCGACGC